AGUUCAAAAAUUUAUUAAAUCGGUUCAAACGAUACAUAUUAAACCCAAUAAAUCAAAUUAAUUGUGAUGGAAUCCUGAACACAUAUUCAUAAAAUCCAAACCCUGAAUCUGCGUGCUAGAUUUGUUCUUUCCUUUCCUUUUAUCUCACAAUUCUUAACUAAAAUGUAAUAUAUUUUCCAUAAAUUCUUGGAUAAUAGGAAACAAACAAAAUAAGGAAAGGAGUUACAAUUUUGCUUACAGGUUGGACAAAAGUCAUAGCUUUGGCCUAAAAAUAAUCGAAUCGUAAAAAUAAUUAUUAAACAAUUUAUAUUACAUUCUUUAAAAUGCGACCUUCUGCGUGAAUGCGAAAUUGGACUGCCUUAUUUAUAAAUAAUUUAUCUAUAAACCUUUUUUUAAAAUGCAGAAAUCACCUCUAAAAAAUUAGAUGACGAGAAAGAAUAACUUAAAUAAUCACACUAAGUACUUUGUUACAAAACCUCUAUAUCAGAAAUCCAGAAAUAAAUAAAAACGAGAAGAAAUAUUAUUAGAAAUCCUCAAGCAAGGGUGUGUUUGGAUAACAGGAAAAUAAAAAAGGAAAUUAAGAUCUAGAGUAACAAUUAAAUAUCUCUACCUCUUGGAGGUGGAGGUGGAGGUGGAGAUAGAGGAAGAGGAGCGAGGUAUCUAGUGAAAAACAGCCGCAGGCUUGGUAAUAUGCGAAGAGGAUUAUACGUCGUCCUUUGACGGAUAAAAUCCUCUAUCGAUUCCACGAACAAAUUCAAGCUCCUUAUCGGCGGCACAUAUAGUGUCAGCGGCGCCGCCGAGAACGCCACCGCAAAGAACACCUCCAACAUUCCUUUAAACCGCCGUCAACAACCACCGUAAAGUCAACACCGCCGUUGAUUUUGGCACUCCGGCAAAGAAUUUUUUAAAGGAAUUUUAUUUUUUCUUACUGAGUUUGACUAGAUGGUUCGACAUAUAUAGAUUUUGCAAGGGGAAGGGGUAAAUGUGUAUUUUUGAGAGAAGAGGGACAGAUUUUGUAGAAUAUUAUUCAUAGAAAGUAAUAUAGGAGAAAUAGAUAUGAGAUUUCCUAAAUGACAACUCAUUGAAUUUGGACAUUUUACAAGGGGAAACAAGAUUUGC
RNAcentral lists this long non-coding RNA (1119 nucleotides) under Nicotiana benthamiana. RNAcentral describes it as "long non-coding RNA (NBEN_LNC042126)". The record is from RNAcentral. Lineage: Eukaryota; Viridiplantae; Streptophyta; Magnoliopsida; Solanales; Solanaceae.